RNAcentral lists this ribosomal RNA (253 nucleotides) under uncultured bacterium. RNAcentral's name for it is "partial 16S ribosomal RNA". It matches the Rfam family "Bacterial small subunit ribosomal RNA", at positions 524 to 776 of the family's 1533-position model. The record is from RNAcentral.
GACGAACCGAGCGACCGUUGUUCGGAAUCACUGGGCUUAAAGGGCGCGUAGGCGGGCUGUCAAGUCUGGGGUGAAAUCCCGCGGCUCAACCGUGGAACUGCCUCAGAUACUGACGGUCUCGAGGGAGGUAGGGGCGAGCGGAACUGAUGGUGGAGCGGUGAAAUGCGUUGAUAUCAUCAGGAACUCCGGUGGCGAAGGCGGCUCGCUGGACCUCUUCUGACGCUGAGGCGCGAAAGCCAGGGGAGCAAACGGG